This 1455-nucleotide ribosomal RNA is filed under the name metagenome. RNAcentral's name for it is "bacterial SSU rRNA". It matches the Rfam family "Bacterial small subunit ribosomal RNA". The record is from RNAcentral.
AGAGUUUGAUCCUGGCUCAGGAUGAACGUUGGCGGCGUGUCUAAGGCAUGCAAGUCGAACGAUCCCAUUUACUUCGGUUUUUGGGAUAGUGGCAAACGGGUGCGUAACACGUCGGUAAUCUACCUCGAAGACGGGUAUAACUUUGCGAAAGCAAAGCUAAUCCCCGAUGGAAAUGGGGGGGCAUAAGUCAUUCCCAUUUAAACGCUCCGGCGCUUCGAGAGGACCGGCGGCCUAUCAGCUUGUUGGUGAGGUUAAAGCUCACCAAGGCUAUGACGGGUAGCGGGUGUGAGAGCAUGGCCCGCCUCACUGGGACUGAGACACUGCCCAGACUCCUACGGGAGGCUGCAGUCAAGAAUAUUCCCCAAUGCCCGAAAGGGUGAGGGAGCGACGCCGCGUGAUUGAAGAAGCCCUUCGGGGUGUAAAGAUCUUUUGCAAGGGACGAAUUCGUGACGGUACCUUGCGAAUAAGAGGUUGCUAACUCCGUGCCAGCAGCAGCGGUAAUACGGAGACCUCAAGCGUUAUCCGGAUUUAUUGGGCGUAAAGCGUCCGCAGGCGGCUUGGAAAGUCGUUGGUCAAAUCCUGAUGCUCAACAUCAGAACUGCCAGCGAAACUGCCGAGCUAGAGGAUGGGAGAGGCAAGCGGAAUUGUCGGUGUAGCGGUAAAAUGCGUUAAUAUCGACAAGAACACCAAAUGCGAAGGCAGCUUGCUAGAACAUUCCUGACGCUCAUGGACGAAAGCGUGGGUAGCGAAAGGGAUUAGAUACCCCUGUAGUCCACGCCCUAAACGAUGGACACUAGGUAUUGGAAGUAUCGACCCUUCCAGUGCCGACGAACCAAGCUAACGCGUUAAGUGUCCCGCCUGGGGAGUACGGCCGCAAGGCUAAAACUCAAAGGAAUAGACGGGGACCCGCACAAGCGGUGGAGCAUGUGGUUUAAUUCGACGAUAAGCGAGGAACCUUACCUGGGCUUGAACUUCAGCUGCAAGUCCUAUGAAAAUAGGAAGUCCUUCGAGGGUGCUGAAGAGGUGCUGCAUGGUUGCCGUCAGCUCGUGCCGUGAGGUGUACCGUUAAGUCGGGUAACGAGCGCAACCCCCAUUCUGUGUUAUACUUUCACAGAAGACUGCCUCGGUUAACGAGGAGGAAGGUGGGGACGACGUCAAAUCAGCAUGGCUCUUACGUCCAGGGCGACACACGUGCUACAAUGGCCAGUACAACGGGUUGCCAAACCGCAAGGUGGAGCUAAUCCCUUAAAGCUGGUCUCAGUUCGGAUUGUGGGCUGCAACUCGCCCACAUGAAGUCGGAAUCGCUAGUAACCGCGCAUCAGCCAUGGCGCGGUGAAUACGUUCUCGGGUCUUGUACUCACCGCCCGUCACGUCAAGAGAGUCGGUAAUACCCGAAGUUCGAUGUAGAUCGUUCGAAGGUAGGACCGAUGAUAGGGACGAAGUCGUAACAAGGCA